UCUCUUCUUCCUAUGCUUUACUUCGUUUCUAUUUGUUUCUUCAUCCAUGGAUUUAACUUCAACUCAUAUGGAUUUAAUACACCCCUCCCUCAUACCCUUCCUGUCUAAUUUUUAUUGCGGAAAGAAGCUCAAUUGGAUAUUCUCUCAACAUCAAAAGCGACAUUCCAUUUUAUUUGUCAAAGCACCCAUAACAGAAAAGAUACCAUACCGUUUGUAACCUGCAACAUAUACAUAGAAGAUAACUGAAUGAGCAAUUUCACAUGAGUGGAGACUACAAACAAAAUAUUCAGAAACUACCCAUUAGUAUUUUACAACUAUAACAUAAGGAAAGCAAACAAUCAGAUUCUACGUGCUCAAAUAUUAGAUCACUAAAGAAUCUUGAUGGAAUUGAACCACCUUUCAUCUGGGAUCCUAAAAUACGACCAGUAUCUACAGAGAAUCUUUACAGGUAGAGAUUACUAUUAUUCAGUUUAGUAAUUUGAAGAGAAACACCUUAAAACUCCAUCUACUUAUGUAGAGCAGGUGAACCUGAUCAAUCUGCAGUUUCGGUGAUGAGUUUGUGAAUAAGGUUAGGAUCUGAUUGAUGCGGCAUC
RNAcentral lists this long non-coding RNA (593 nucleotides) under Triticum aestivum (bread wheat). RNAcentral's name for it is "long non-coding RNA (TAES_LNC006870)". The record is from RNAcentral. Lineage: Eukaryota; Viridiplantae; Streptophyta; Magnoliopsida; Poales; Poaceae.